Molecule: ribosomal RNA, 472 nt
Filed under: uncultured bacterium
Lineage: Bacteria
Description: partial 16S ribosomal RNA
Rfam family: Bacterial small subunit ribosomal RNA
Source: RNAcentral
GACGAACGCUGGCGGCGUGCUUAACACAUGCAAGUCGAACGCUGAAGCUUGGUGCUUGCACUGAGUGGAUGAGUGGCGAACGGGUGAGUAAUACGUGAGUAACCUGCCCUUGACUCUGGGAUAAGCCUGGGAAACUGGGUCUAAUACUGGAUACGACAUGCCACUGCAUGGUGGUUUGUGGAAAGGGUUUUACUGGUUUUGGAUGGGCUCAGGGCCUAUCAGCUUGUUGGUGGGGUAAUGGCCUACCAAGGCGACGACGGGUAGCCGGCCUGAGAGGGUUACCGGCCACACUGGGACUGAGACACGGCCCAGAGUCCUACGGGAGGCAGCAGGGGGGAAUAUUGCACAAUGGGCGGAAGCCUGAUGCAGAGACGCCGCGUGAGGGAUGACGGCCUUCGGGUUGUAAACCUCUUUCAGUACGGAAGAAGCGAGAGUGACGGUACGUGCAGAAGAAGCGCCGGCUAACUACGUG